CCUACGGGUGGCUGCAGUGGGGAAUAUUGGACAAUGGGGGCAACCCUGAUCCAGCCAUGCCGCGUGUGUGAAGAAGGCCCUCGGGUUGUAAAGCACUUUCAGUGAGGAAGAACGCCUGGUGGUUAAUACCCAUCAGGAAAGACAUCACUCACAGAAGAAGCACCGGCUAACUCCGUGCCAGCAGCCGCGGUAAUACGGAGGGUGCGAGCGUUAAUCGGAAUUACUGGGCGUAAAGCGCGCGUAGGUGGCUUGAUAAGCCGGUUGUGAAGGCCCCGGGCUCAACCUGGGAACGGCAUCCGGAACUGUCAAGCUAGAGUGCAGGAGAGGAAGGUAGAAUUCCCGGUGUAGCGGUGAAAUGCGUAGAGAUCGGGAGGAAUACCAGUGGCGAAGGCGGCCUUCUGGACUGACACUGACACUAAGGUGCGAAAGCGUGGGUAGCAAACAGGAUUAGAUACCCGGGUAGUC
This 465-nucleotide ribosomal RNA is filed under the name Vreelandella stevensii. RNAcentral's name for it is "partial 16S ribosomal RNA". It matches the Rfam family "Bacterial small subunit ribosomal RNA", at positions 338 to 795 of the family's 1533-position model. Lineage: Bacteria; Pseudomonadati; Pseudomonadota; Gammaproteobacteria; Oceanospirillales; Halomonadaceae. The record is from RNAcentral.